AAUCAACGCUGGCGGCGUGCCUCAGACAUGCAAGUCGAACGAUUAAGACUCUCUUCGGAGAGUGUAUAAAGUGGCGCACGGGUGAGUAACACGUAGGUAAUGUACCGAAGGGUGGGGAAUAACUUAGGGAAACUUAAGCUAAUACCGCAUAAUGCAGCGGCUCGACAUCGAGACAGUUGUUAAAGGAGCAAUCCGCCUUUUGAGCAGCCUGCGGCAGAUUAGCUAGUUGGUAAGGUAAUGGCUUACCAAGGCUACGAUCUGUAACCGACCUGAGAGGGUGGUCGGUCACACUGACACUGAAUAACGGGUCAGACUCCGUACGGGA
This 325-nucleotide ribosomal RNA is filed under the name uncultured bacterium. RNAcentral describes it as "bacterial SSU rRNA". It matches the Rfam family "Bacterial small subunit ribosomal RNA", at positions 32 to 346 of the family's 1533-position model. The record is from RNAcentral.